CUUGCUAUAUAUCUGUUGUUUCAUACUUUAUUUGAUCCUUUCCACUACUUUUUGUGCUUGAUGUAUCUCCUAAUUCAUUUUUUAUGUUGAAUUUUGUGAUAGGGUAUGCUGGCUGUCUACAAUUCAUUGACUGAAGAUGGAAAAAAGGAGUUUGAGACUGCAUAUAGCGCUUCAUAUUAUCCCUGCAUGGACAUCUUAUACGAGUGCUAUGAAGAUGUAGCCAGUUGCAGUGAGAUCAGGAGUGUCGUCUUGGCUGGACGUCGCUUUUAUGUAAGAUUCUAUUUCUAUUUUCACAAUUUAAGCAUUGUGAUUUAUUUAUUUUUAUCGUUCUUUUUUCUCUUCUUCCAUGCAGGAGAAGGAAGGUUUACCAGCUUUUCCGAUGGGGAACAUCGACCAGACACGAAUGUGGAAAGUUGGUGAGAAAGUUCGAGCAGCACGUCCAGCAGGUGACUUGGGACCUUUGUAUCCUUUCACUGCAGGUGUCUAUGUGGCAUUGAUGAUGGCUCAGGUGUGGAUUCUUUCAGAUCUUAACUUAAAUUUAUUUCUUAUUUACGUGCUUCUUAAAUAGCAUAUUCUAGUUCUACGCAGACUAGAAGUGAGAUUACCAUGUGAAAUCUGUGUUGCUGAUAGUAGUAAUCGCAGACUGUUAAUUGGUUGAUCUGAAAGAGUGAAAGUGGUAAUGCAUACUUAUGUUUGAUCUCUGCUCAAAUGCAUGUUGCUCGAAUUUGUUUCAAGUGUCUAUUCAGUUUACUUCAGCAAGACGAAUGAUAUUUUAGCUGGAAAAAAUGGAUUAGCAAAUAUAUUUUGUUGCACCUUUUAACUGAUGAUAAUAUCCCUGAAAUUACUCUGAAUGUGAAUGUAGAUUGAGAUUCUAAGGAAGAAAGGGCACUCCUACUCAGAGAUUAUCAACGAGAGUGUCAUUGAGUCUGUGGAUUCUUUGAAUCCUUUCAUGCAUGCUCGAGGCGUUUCAUUCAUGGUUGACAAUUGUUCAACAACAGCACGGCUAGGAUCGAGGAAGUGGGCCCCUCGUUUUGACUACAUUCUCACGCAGCAGGCUUUGGUAGCAGUGGAUAAAGGUGCUCCCAUUAACCAAGAUCUCAUUAGCAACUUCCUAUCAGAUCCUGUACAUGGAGCUAUUGAAGUAUGUGCCCAAUUGAGACCUACUGUGGACAUAUCAGUGCCCCCGGAUGCUGAUUUUGUCCGUCCUGAGUUGCGUCAGUCGAGCAACUGAGGUUUUGAAGUUCAAUCUCCUAAGAAGCUCUUCUCCAUGGAAUUGAGGAGAGAUUCUUCAAACCAAGCAGAGAUUUGAAGUAAUGUUUCGAGUGAGCCAGGUAUCCAGGUGUCUUAAAUUAAAGGUCCUUCGUGAUUUUCUCUAUCUCCUCUAGGAGGAUUAUGCAGUUAUAGUAGCAGAAUGGUCCUGUAUUUUAACGUAUCUUGCGUUAGUCGGGCUCUGUAUGUGUUUUGAGUUGGUAAUAUUGCAAUAAUCAGUUUUUAUUCUGAACAAUUGACUUGGAAGGUAUUAUGAGAGGGAAUAAUUCAUAUAUUUAAUUUAUGAUGUGGCGUUUUAGAGUAAGCAUCAACACGAGGACAUUUUAAGGGUGCGUUUGAUUAUCAAUAUUUUUUAUGAA
Molecule: long non-coding RNA, 1628 nt
Filed under: Olea europaea subsp. europaea
Lineage: Eukaryota; Viridiplantae; Streptophyta; Magnoliopsida; Lamiales; Oleaceae
Source: RNAcentral